GACGAACGCUGGCGGCGUGCCUAAUACAUGCAAGUUGAGCGAUGAAGAUUGGUGCUUGCCCCAAUUUGAAGAGCAGCGAACGGGUGAGUAACGCGUGGGGAAUCUGCUUUGAGCGGGGGACAACAUUUGGAAACGAAUGCUAAUACCGCAUAACAACUUUAAACAUAAGUUUUAAGUUUGAAAGAUGCAAUUGCAUCACUCAAAGAUGAUCCCGCGUUGUAUUAGCUAGUUGGUGAGGUAAAGGCUCACCAAGGCGAUGAUACAUAGCCGACCUGAGAGGGUGAUCGGCCACAUUGGGACUGAGACACGGCCCAAACUCCUACGGGAGGCAGCAGUAGGGAAUCUUCGGCAAUGGACGAAAGUCUGACCGAGCAACGCCGCGUGAGUGAAGAAGGUUUUCGGAUCGUAAAACUCUGUUGGUAGAGAAGAACGUUGGUGAGAGUGGAAAGCUCAUCAAGUGACGGUAACUACCCAGAAAGGGACGGCUAACUACGUG
RNAcentral lists this ribosomal RNA (496 nucleotides) under uncultured bacterium. RNAcentral's name for it is "partial 16S ribosomal RNA". It matches the Rfam family "Bacterial small subunit ribosomal RNA", at positions 28 to 507 of the family's 1533-position model. The record is from RNAcentral.